Molecule: transfer RNA, 70 nt
Filed under: Sciurus spadiceus (Southern Amazon red squirrel)
Lineage: Eukaryota; Metazoa; Chordata; Mammalia; Rodentia; Sciuridae
Description: Hadrosciurus spadiceus (Southern Amazon red squirrel) tRNA-Thr
Source: RNAcentral
GCCCCAGUAGUAUAAUCAAUUACUCUGGUCUUGUAAACCAAAAAUAAAGCCUUAAACGCUUUCUAGGGCA